AACGCACAUUGCGCCCGAGGCUUCGGCCAAAGGCAUGUCUGCCUCAGCGUCCUCUCCUCCUGCCCUCGCCCGGACCCCCGCGGUCUCGGACCCAGCGAGGCGCGACCUGGCCGUCCCUCCGCCUCCCCCUCUCGGGGGGGAGGCGGGUCGUCGGCUGAAAGGCAGUGCGAUCGACCCCGCGCCGGGCCUCGGCGCGGAGGGGGAGCAGCCGCUCCCUCCCCGCGCCGGGGUCUCGACGCGCCGGAGCUUGAUGAGAGAUCCCUCGGAUCCCCCCUCUCUGCUUCGGCGCGGCCGUUCACGGCGUUCGCCGGGCGUCGUCUCGCGUAACGGGGCCCCUCGCGGGGCCCCACCUCUCACGUUUAGGACCUGAGCUCAGGCAAGGCUACCCGCUGAACUUAA
This 399-nucleotide unclassified non-coding RNA is filed under the name uncultured fungus. Its description in RNAcentral is "partial contains 5.8S ribosomal RNA, internal transcribed spacer 2, and large subunit ribosomal RNA". The record is from RNAcentral. Lineage: Eukaryota; Fungi.